Jaculus jaculus (lesser Egyptian jerboa) is the source of this 617-nucleotide long non-coding RNA. RefSeq lists it as uncharacterized. Lineage: Eukaryota; Metazoa; Chordata; Mammalia; Rodentia; Dipodidae. The transcript is spliced from 3 exons. The record is from RefSeq and is a predicted model, not a curated record.
CCAGCAAGUGUACCAGCCCAGGUGCACAGCCAGACGGCCUGCAAAGAGGGACCAACUUCUUGUUCAGCUCAAGGAAUGGACAACUGCUAACAUCAAUCACUCAUCCAUGUCCCAUGUUCUUCUUUAAUUCCCCUUUGGCUAAGUACAUGAGCAACCUCAUAAUUACAUGCCCAGAGAUUGUUCAAAUAAAAAAGGAACAAAGCUCCUGACAAAGUUCAAUGCCGAAAUCAAGACUGCCUGGAGUACCCCUUGCCCAGCCUGCAGUGCAGUCUCAAAUCUGGAAAUGGGACCAAGGGCCCUACAAGGAAAGCUCUCAAGUUCUCCAGUCUCCUUAGAACCGGGUGGAAAGUCCUGAUUGAUGUUCAGAGAAAGUGCCGGCGUCCUCCCUGGACUUCUCCCUCUUUCUACCUCUCGUGCUCCAGCUUCCAAAGGAUCCUGUGGUCAUGGUGACAUAGAGGCAACCCCAGGAGCCUAAGGGGAGGCAACACCGAGAGGGGCAACUUUCUGAAUGCCACCAAUGGUACCAAGAGGGGGCAACUUUCUCACUCCCUCUUUCCAUCUCUAUCACGUACUGAGACAAAUCACCCAACCAAAAGCAACUUAGGGAAGGAAAGAGU